This 983-nucleotide ribosomal RNA is filed under the name uncultured Bacteroidota bacterium. RNAcentral describes it as "bacterial SSU rRNA". It matches the Rfam family "Bacterial small subunit ribosomal RNA", at positions 507 to 1501 of the family's 1533-position model. The record is from RNAcentral. Lineage: Bacteria; Pseudomonadati; Bacteroidota.
GCCAGCAGCCGCGGUAAUACGGAGGAUGCAAGCGUUAUCCGGAUUCAUUGGGUUUAAAGGGUGCGUAGGCGGAUUGAUAAGUCAGUGGUGAAAUCCUACAGCUUAACUGUAGAACUGCCAUUGAUACUGUCAUGUCUUGAGUUUGGUUAAGGUAGGCGGAAUGUGUAAUGUAGCGGUGAAAUGCUUAGAUAUUACACAGAACACCAAUUGCGUAGGCAGCUUACUGGACCGACACUGACGCUGAGGCACGAAAGCGUGGGGAUCGAACAGGAUUAGAUACCCUGGUAGUCCACGCCGUAAACGAUGAUUACUCGCUGUUGGCGAUACACAGUCAGCGGCUAAGCAAAAGCAAUAAGUAAUCCACCUGGGGAGUACGGCCGCAAGGCUGAAACUCAAAGGAAUUGACGGGGGCCCGCACAAGCGGAGGAACAUGUGGUUUAAUUCGAUGAUACGCGAGGAACCUUACCUGGGCUUAAAUGUAGAGUGCAUGAGGUGGAAACACUUCUUUCCUUCGGGACUCUUUGCAAGGUGCUGCAUGGUUGUCGUCAGCUCGUGCCGUGAGGUGUCGGGUUAAGUCCCAUAACGAGCGCAACCCUUAUCGUUAGUUGCCAGCGGGUAAAGCCGGGGACUCUAGCGAAACUGCCACCGUAAGGUGAGAGGAAGGUGGGGAUGACGUCAAAUCAGCACGGCCCUUAUGUCCAGGGCUACACACGUGUUACAAUGGCCGGCACAGAGGGCAGCUACCUGGUGACAGGAUGCUAAUCUCGAAAACCGGUCUCAGUUCGGAUCGAAGUCUGCAACUCGACUUCGUGAAGCUGGAUUCGCUAGUAAUCGCGCAUCAGCCAUGGCGCGGUGAAUACGUUCCCGGGCCUUGUACACACCGCCCGUCAAGCCAUGGAAGCUGGGGGUGCCUGAAGUCCGUAACCGUAAGGAGCGGCCUAGGGUAAAACUAGUGACUGGGGCUAAGUCGUAACAAGGUAUCC